Molecule: unclassified non-coding RNA, 378 nt
Filed under: uncultured Actinomycetes bacterium
Lineage: Bacteria; Bacillati; Actinomycetota; Actinomycetes
Description: uncultured actinobacterium contains 16S-23S intergenic spacer region
Source: RNAcentral
UCCGGUUUGACACCGGCAGUCUCCUAUGAGUCCCCGACAUUACUCGCUGGCAACAUAGGACAGGGGUUGCGCUCGUUGCGGGACUUAACCCAACACCUCACGGCACGAGCUGACGACAACCAUGCAGCACCUGUGCUAGCCCCUUACGGACACGGGCUUUCACCCGCUUUAACUAGCGUGUCAAGGGUAGGUAAGGUUUUUCGCGUUGCAUCGAAUUAAUCCACAUAAUCCACCGCUUGUGCGGGUCCCCGUCAAUUCCUUUGAGUUUUAGUCUUGCGACCGUACUCCCCAGGCGGAGUGCUUAAUGCGUUAGCUGCGGCACAGAGAGGGUUGAAGACCUCCCCACACCUAGCACUCAACGUUUACGGCUGGGACUAC